AAGGAUUUAAGUUAAUAUAAACUUGGAACCUUCAAAGUUCCCCAUAAAGUAUUUCUUUAAGCCUUA
This 66-nucleotide transfer RNA is filed under the name Apogonia cf. basalis. Its description in RNAcentral is "tRNA-Trp". The record is from RNAcentral. Lineage: Eukaryota; Metazoa; Arthropoda; Insecta; Coleoptera; Scarabaeidae.